UACGGGAGGCAGCAGUGGGGAAUAUUGCACAAUGGGCGCAAGCCUGAUGCAGCCAUGCCGCGUGUAUGAAGAAGGCCUUCGGGUUGUAAAGUACUUUUCAGUCGUGAGGAAGGUGUUAAGGUUAAUAACCUUAGCAAUUGACGUUAGCGACAGAAGAAGCACCGGCUAACUCCGUGCCAGCAGCCGCGGUAAUACGGAGGGUGCGAGCGUUAAUCGGAAUUACUGGGCGUAAAGGGCACGCAGGCGGUUAAUAAGUUGGAUGUGAAAUCCCCGGGCUUAACCUGGGAAUGGCAUUCAAGACUGGUUAGCUAGAGUCUUGUAGAGGGGGUAGAAUUCCAUGUGUAGCGGUGAAAUGCGUAGAGAUGUGGAGGAAUACCGGUGGCGAAGGCGGCCCCUGGACAAAGGACUGACGCUCAUGUGCGAAAGCGUGGGGAGCGAAAC
RNAcentral lists this ribosomal RNA (441 nucleotides) under uncultured bacterium. Its description in RNAcentral is "bacterial SSU rRNA". It matches the Rfam family "Bacterial small subunit ribosomal RNA", at positions 340 to 774 of the family's 1533-position model. The record is from RNAcentral.